GUGUUCGCUUUGGCAGCACAACUACUAAAAUUUAAACAUUGCUGAGGAGAUUAGCAUGGCCCCUGCUCAAGCGUGACAUGCAAAUUCAUAAAAUGUUCCAUAUUUUU
Molecule: small nuclear RNA, 107 nt
Organism: Dipodomys ordii (Ord's kangaroo rat)
Lineage: Eukaryota; Metazoa; Chordata; Mammalia; Rodentia; Heteromyidae
Source: Ensembl